GCGGGCGUGGCGGAAUUGGCAGACGCGCUGGAUUUAGGUUCCAGUGGGUAAAACCCGUGGAGGUUCGAGUCCUCUCGCCCGCACCA
This 86-nucleotide transfer RNA is filed under the name Actinomycetota bacterium. Its description in RNAcentral is "tRNA-Leu". It matches the Rfam family "tRNA". From Rfam's summary of the family: Transfer RNA (tRNA) molecules are approximately 80 nucleotides in length. Their secondary structure includes four short double-helical elements and three loops (D, anti-codon, and T loops). Further hydrogen bonds mediate the characteristic L-shaped molecular structure. tRNAs have two regions of fundamental functional importance: the anti-codon, which is responsible for specific mRNA codon recognition, and the 3' end, to which the tRNAs corresponding amino acid is attached (by aminoacyl-tRNA synthetases). tRNAs cope with the degeneracy of the genetic code in two manners: having more than one tRNA (with a specific anti-codon) for a particular amino acid; and 'wobble' base-pairing, i.e. permitting non-standard base-pairing at the 3rd anti-codon position. The record is from RNAcentral. Lineage: Bacteria; Bacillati; Actinomycetota.